GACAGAGGGUGCAAACGUUGCUCGGAAUUACUGGGCGUAAAGCGCGUGUAGGCUGACCGGAAAGUCGGGCGUGAAAGCCCUGGGCUCAACCCAGGAACUGCACUCGAAACUCCCGGUCUAGAGUGGUGGAGAGGGAAGUGGAAUUCCUAGUGUAGAGGUGAAAUUCGUAGAUAUCAGGAGGAACACCAGUGGCGAAGGCGGCUUCCUGGACACCAACUGACGCUGAGACGCGAAAGCGUGGGGAGCAAACAGG
This 253-nucleotide ribosomal RNA is filed under the name uncultured bacterium. RNAcentral describes it as "partial 16S ribosomal RNA". It matches the Rfam family "Bacterial small subunit ribosomal RNA", at positions 524 to 776 of the family's 1533-position model. The record is from RNAcentral.